Molecule: ribosomal RNA, 2917 nt
Filed under: anaerobic digester metagenome
Description: bacterial LSU rRNA
Rfam family: Bacterial large subunit ribosomal RNA
Source: RNAcentral
AGAAAAGAUCAAGUGCAUACGGUGGAUGCCUUGGCUCUCGGAGGCGAUGAAGGACGUGAUAAGCUGCGAUAAGCUUCGGUUAGGUGCAAAUGACCUUUUACCCGGAGAUUUCCGAAUGGGACAACCUGUCAGGCUGAAUGCCUGUCAUCCGAUUUUUUGGAGGCCAACGCGGGGAACUGAAACAUCUUAGUACCCGUAGGAAAAGAAAACAAAAGUGAUUCCCUUAGUAGUGGCGAGCGAAGUGGGAACAGCCCAAACCGAACGUGUUACGGCAUGUUCGGGGUUAUAGGACCGCGUUAUAGAUUUUUGACAGAUGAGAGGAAGUGGGUUGGAAGUCCCUGCCAUAGAAGGUGAUAGCCCUGUAUUUUUAGUUUGUCUUUAAUUUUAGCGGUAUCCUGAGUAGCGCGGAUCACGUGUAAUUCUGCGUGAAUUUGCCGGGCCCAUCCGGUAAGGCUAAAUACUCCCGAGAGACCGAUAGUGAACCAGUACCGUGAGGGAAAGGUGAAAAGUACCCCGUGCAGGGGAGUGAAACAGUUCCUGAAACCGUUUGCAUACAAGCGGUCGGAGCGGCUAUUUAUUAGCUGUGACGGCGUGCCUUUUGCAUAAUGAUCCUACGAGUUAUCGUCACUGGCGAGGAUAAGCAUCAUUAGUUGCGUAUUCGAAGGGAAACCGAGUCUUAAUAGGGCGUUUUUUUUUAGUCAGUGGUGAUAGACGCGAAACCAGGUGAUCUACCCUUGACCAGGGUGAAGGCCGGGUAACGCCGGUUGGAGGCCCGCACCAUUAAGCGUUGAAAAGCUUUUGGAUGAGUUGAGGGUUGGAGUGAAAGGCUAAUCAAACCUGGAGAUAGCUCGUACUCCCCGAAAUGCCUUUAGGGGCAGCCUUGUAUUUUGACAUCAUGAGGUAGAGCGACCAAUAGGAUGCGAGGGCUUCGCCGCCUAUCAAGUCCUGAUGAACUCCGAAUUCGUGUUGUAUUAAUUACAGGAGUGAGGUCACGGGUGCUAAGGUCCGUGUCCGAGAGAAGAACAAUUCAGACCAUCGUCUAAGGUCCCCCAGUGGCGGCUAAGUUAUUUUAACGAAGUUGGAAUUCAGUGACAGCUAGGAUGUUGGCUUGGAAGCAGCCAUUCAUUCAAAGAGUGCGUAACAGCUCACUAGUCGAGAAUUCCGGCGUGGAUAAUAAUCGGGUAUUAAGUCGUCCGCCGAAGACGUGGAAUUGGUGUUAUGUUUUACAUGAUACUGAUUGGUAGGGGAGCAUUCCAUUUACUUAGAAGGUUAUCUGUGAGGGUUGCUGGAGUUUAUGGAAAAGCAAAUGUAGGAAUGAGUAACGAUAAGGAGGGUUAGACUCCCUCCCGCCGAAAGACUAAGGUUUCCUGAUCUACGCUCAUCGGAUCAGGGUUAGUCGGGUCCUAAGGCUAAUUCGAAAGGAGAUGUCGAUGGUUCAAACGGUUAAUAUUCCGUUACUUCCUAUGCUUAGUGAUGUGGUGACGGAGCAGUGACAGCGCUGCCGGCAGACGGAAUUGCCGGUUAAAUGGUUUAGGUGUUGAUAGGUAUAGGCAAAUCCGUACCUUGAGCUGACCCUUAUAGUACAGACAUCUUUCGGGGUGUUUGAUAAUGCGUGUAAUCAUACUUCCAAGAAAACCCGCUAAACGUUUUUAUGGCAUAGGAACCCGUACCGUAAACCGACACAGGUAGUUGUGUAGAAUAUACUAAGGCGCUUGAGAGAAUCAUGGUUAAGGAACUAGGCAACUUGACCCCGUAACUUCGGGAUAAGGGGUCCUCCGUUUAUUCGGAGGCGCAGAGAAUAGGUCCAGGCAACUGUUUAUCAAAAACACAGGGCUGUGCUAAGUAUUACUACGAUGUAUACAGCCUGACACCUGCCCGGUGCCGGAAGGUUAAGAGGAGACGUUAUCGCAAGAGAAGCGUUGAAUUGAAGCCCCGGUAAACGGCGGCCGUAACUAUAACGGUCCUAAGGUAGCGAAAUUCCUUGUCGGGUAAGUUCCGACCUGCACGAAUGGUGUAAUGAUCUGGACGCUGUCUCAAUCAUGAUCUCAGUGAAAUUGUAGUAUCGGUGAAGAUGCCGAUUUCCCGCGAUGGGACGAAAAGACCCCGUGAACCUUUACUAUAGCUUAACGUUGCGUUUGGGCCACUGAUGUGUAGGAUAGGCCGGAGGCUUUGAAGUAGUGACGCCAGUCAUUAUGGAGCCGCUGUUGAAAUACGGCCCUUUUGUUGUCUGGAUGCUAACGCGUAUAUUUUCGCGGACACCGUUUGGUGGGUAGUUUGACUGGGGUGGUCGCCUCCAAAAUGGUAACGGAGGCUUCUCAAGGUACCCUCAUGACGAUUGGUAACCGUCAGUAGAGUGUAAUGGCAUAAGGGUGCUUGACUGAGAGACCUACAAGUCGAUCAGGUAGGAAACUAGAGCAUAGUGAUCCGGUGGUUCCGUAUGGAAGGGCCAUCGCUCAAAGGAUAAAAGGUACUCCGGGGAUAACAGGCUGAUCCCUCCCAAGAGCUCAUAUCGACGGAGUGGUUUGGCACCUCGAUGUCGGCUCGUCACAUCCUGGGGCUGGAGAAGGUCCCAAGGGUUGGGCUGUUCGCCCAUUAAAGUGGCACGCGAGCUGGGUUCAGAACGUCGUGAGACAGUUCGGUCUCUAUCUAUCGUGGGCGUUGGAAAUUUGCGUGGAUCUGACAUUAGUACGAGAGGACCGUGUUGGACAGACCUCCGGUUUACCGGUUGUGGCGCCAGCUGCAUAGCCGGGUAUCUGCGUCUGGUAUUGGAUAAGCGCUGAAUGCAUCUAAGUGCGAAGCCGACCACAAGAUUAGAUUUCCUUUGAGGGUCGUUGUAGACUACGACGUUGAUAGGCUGCAGGUGUAAAGGCGGUGACGUCAAAGCCGAGCAGUACUAAUUGCCCGAACUUUUCCUUGA